CCUACGGGAGGCAGCAGUCGGGAAUAUUGCGCAAUGGAGGAAACUCUGACGCAGUGACGACGCGUUCAGGAAGAAGGUUUUCGGAUUGUAAACCGCUGUAGACAGGGAAGAAAAAAGACAGUACCUGUUGAAUACGCUCCGGCUAACUACGUGCCAGCAGCCGCGGUUAUACGUAGGGAGCAAGCGUUGUCCGGAUUUAUUGGGUGUAAAGGGUGCGUAGACGUCGAAGCAAGUUAGAUGUGAAAGCACUCGGCUUAACUGAGGAACUGCAACUAAAACUACUUCCCUUGAGUACUGGAGAGGAAAGUGGAAAUCCUAGUGUAGCGGUGAAAUGCGUAGAUAUUAGGAGGAACACCAGUGGCGAAGGCGACUUUCUGGACAGUAACUGACGUUGAGGCACGAAAGUGUGGGGAGCAAACAGGAUUAGAUACCCGUGUAGUC
RNAcentral lists this ribosomal RNA (441 nucleotides) under uncultured bacterium. Its description in RNAcentral is "partial 16S ribosomal RNA". It matches the Rfam family "Bacterial small subunit ribosomal RNA", at positions 338 to 795 of the family's 1533-position model. The record is from RNAcentral.